ACGGAAGGCAGCAGUGAGGAAUAUUGGUCAAUGGACGGAAGUCUGAACCAGCCAUGCCGCGUGCGGGAAUAAGGCCCUAUGGGUCGUAAACCGCUUUUGACGGGAGCAAUAAGGCGUACGUGUACGCCGAUGAGAGUACUCGUCGAAUAAGCAUCGGCUAACUCCGUGCCAGCAGCCGCGGUAAUACGGAGGAUGCAAGCGUUAUCCGGAUUUAUUGGGUUUAAAGGGUGCGUAGGCUGUGCUUCAAGUCAGGGGUGAAAUGCCCAGGCCUAACCCGGGAACUGCCUUUGAUACUGGAGCGCUGGAAUACGGAUGCCGUGGGAGGAAUGAGUAGUGUAGCGGUGAAAUGCAUAGAUAUUACUCAGAACACCGAUUGCGAAGGCAUCUCACGAAUCCGUCAUUGACGCUGAGGCACGAAAGCGUGGGGAUCAAACAGGAUUAGAUACCCUGGUA
RNAcentral lists this ribosomal RNA (453 nucleotides) under uncultured bacterium. RNAcentral describes it as "partial 16S ribosomal RNA". It matches the Rfam family "Bacterial small subunit ribosomal RNA", at positions 341 to 792 of the family's 1533-position model. The record is from RNAcentral.